This 253-nucleotide ribosomal RNA is filed under the name uncultured bacterium. Its description in RNAcentral is "partial 16S ribosomal RNA". It matches the Rfam family "Bacterial small subunit ribosomal RNA", at positions 524 to 776 of the family's 1533-position model. The record is from RNAcentral.
UACGUAGGGGGCAAGCGUUGUCCGGAAUCAUUGGGCGUAAAGAGCGUGUAGGCGGCCCUGUAAGUCCGUUGUGAAAGUCGAGGGCUCAACCCUGGAAUGCCGGUGGAAACUGUCGGGCUGGAGUCCGGAAGAGGCGAGUGGAAUUCCUGGUGUAGCGGUGAAAUGCGCAGAUAUCAGGAGGAACACCAAUGGCGAAGGCAGCGCGCUGGGACGGUACUGACGCUGAGACGCGAAAGCGUGGGGAGCAAACAGG